This 1018-nucleotide ribosomal RNA is filed under the name Tenuibiotus danilovi. Its description in RNAcentral is "SSU rRNA". It matches the Rfam family "Eukaryotic small subunit ribosomal RNA", at positions 124 to 1141 of the family's 1831-position model. The record is from RNAcentral. Lineage: Eukaryota; Metazoa; Tardigrada; Eutardigrada; Parachela; Macrobiotidae.
AUCGUAUCCAUUUACACGGAUAACUGUGGUAAUUCUAGAGCUAAUACGUGCAAUCAGCUCGCUUCCUUGUGGAGCGAGCGCAGUUAUUAGAACAAGACCAAUCCGGCCUUCGGGUCGGUAAAAUUGGUGACUCUGAAUAACCGAAGCGGAGCGCAUGGUCUCGUACCGGCGCCAGAUCUUUCAAGUGUCUGACUUAUCAGCUUGUUGUUAGGUUACGUUCCUAACAAGGCUAUUACGGGUAACGGGGAAUUAGGGUCCGAUUCCGGAGAAGGAGCCUGAGAAACGGCUACUACAUCCAAGGAAGGCAGCAGGCGCGCAAAUUACCCACUCCCGGCACGGGGAGGUAGUGACGAAAAAUAACGAUGCGAGGGCUCUAUGCUUCUCGUAAUCGGAAUGGGUACACUUUAAAUCCUUUAACGAGGAUCUAUUGGAGGGCAAGUCUGGUGCCAGCAGCCGCGGUAAUUCCAGCUCCAAUAGCGUAUAUUAAAGUUGCUGCGGUUAAAAAGCUCGUAGUUGGAUCUGGGCAGCUGAACGGAUGGUGCGCUUUACAGCGUUACUGUCUGUUUGGUGCCACAAGCCGGCCAUGUCUUGCAUGCCCUUCACUGGGUGUGCUUGGCGACCGGAACGUUUACUUUGAAAAAAUUAGAGUGCUCAAAGCAGGCGUACGGCCUUGCAUAAUGGUGCAUGGAAUAAUGGAAUAGGACCUCGGUUCUAUUGUGUUGGUUUUCGGAACUCGAGGUAAUGAUUAAGAGGAACAGACGGGGGCAUUCGUAUUGCGGCGUUAGAGGUGAAAUUCUUGGAUCGUCGCAAGACGAACUACUGCGAAAGCAUUUGCCAAGAAUGUUUUCAUUAAUCAAGAACGAAAGUUAGAGGUUCGAAGGCGAUCAGAUACCGCCCUAGUUCUAACCAUAAACGAUGCCAACCAGCGAUCCGUCGGUGUUUUUUUGAAGACUCGACGGGCAGCUUCCGGGAAACCAAAGUGCUUAGGUUCCGGGGGAAGUAUGGUUGCAAAGCUGAU